UCGCGCCACUGCGCUCUAGCCUGACAGAGUGAGACUCUUUAAAAAAAAAAAAGGUAAAGCAUUCAAAUCAUAGUAUUUGAAGAAGGAGUCUCUAUUGCCCUGACCUCGUGCAGGUAAGUUCACCCAUGUGCCCAGCCCCAGGCCGGGAUACAGCCCUGACUCAUUCACGGCCUCUGCCCUUGAGGGGCCAGUCUGCCAAGGAAAAACCGACGAGGACAAUGGAUGACAUUGCUGGCUAUGAUGGGGGCACAGAUGUAGGGCUGGAGGUUGGGAUUCUGGAAUAGCUUCUUGGAGGAGGUCUGAGUCUUAAGGAUGAGUAGGGCUUUGCUUGGGCACCUUGGAAAAGAGGUCACGCUGGGCGGGGGGAGUAGCAUGACACAGGCUUGGAGGGGAAGGACCCUGCAGUGCUUCAGAGACCUAGCAGGUUUGUCAAGCUGGGUUAGGAGGGGUGGCCACGAGGUGUGUCGGGGAGGAGGGUGGAGAGGUCCCCAGGGGUGGGACCUGCCCGAGUCCUUUGCUUUUACAAGCUUCAGAGCUAAGAAGAUGGAUCUCUCUUCGGCCUAUCAGCUCAUUUUGCAGAUGGGAAAACAGGUCCAGCAGGGCCCCUUACUUGCUCCAGGACACAUGGAGAGAUGGGGCAGGAGCUUGCUUCAGGUCCCCCUGCUGGCACACAGGUUCCACAUCGUGGAUUGCAGAUUGAAAAUACUCAGAUGCAGAGCCCGUGAUACAGAGGGCCGACUGUAUAAGUUCAGAAGAGGACCUGGCGUCUAAUAAAUGCACAACAAUAAUAGUAUCAAUACUUAUUAUCACUAUUGUGGGUCUUUGCUCUGAAGAUAAAGGGAGAAGUGAUGGUUUUAGGGAAUCGUUUGGGGAGUGGAGGGUGCUUCCCCAGAUAUCUAGGAAGUGGAGAAUGACAGGGCCUUGUGUCAUACCUGGAGGCCAACUCUGAGCCCCCCACUGGCUGCUCCUAAAGGGAGAUUUGAUAAGCUACCACCAGCCAGAAUAUCUCUGCUGCUGGGAUUCACUGGUACUGUUUGCCUUUGGGGCAAAGUUAGCUGCUAGCGCCCAGUCACAGCACUUCCUGUGCUGCAGGUGACAACCUCCUCCAGCGCCAUCUGAGCCGUCCGAGUCUAGGUUCUCUAGGUUUUGCAUGAGCCGUCACAUCUCCUGCAUGCUCUUUCCCCUUUCUCUCUAACCCCAGAGGCCCCACCCCUGCCAAACCGGUGGAUCCGUGUGUUCCCCCAGCCAACUGCUGCCAUUUACUGAGGCCUGCUGCGUAUUCAGCACAUGGAUGACGCCAAAUCACAGUUUACUAAGAGGAACGUCUUGCCGUUUCCUGAAUGCGUCUCAUGCACACUGGCCUCUGCUCAUGCCCUUUCCUCUGCCUGGAACACUUUUUCCAUUGCUCUUUCGGGGAAUCUUCUUCAAGAUCCACCUCCUCUGAGAAGCCCGCCCUGACCCCUACGGUUGGACCCUGAGCUCUGGGUGUUGACCCAGAGCCCUGUGUGCUGGGUCCCUGGGAGUCGUGCCCUCUGGCCUGGAUGCUCGUUUGGGUCUUGACCCAGCCUGAUUCAUCUUCAUGAUCCCGUGGAACCUGGCACAGGAGGUGCCAGCCAAUCUCUAUUUGAUUUUUGCAAACCUUUUCUUGAUGUAUAAUUUACCUAUAGAAAAGCACAGCUAUCUUAAGUGCACACCUUGGUGGGCUUCUACAAGGUGAACACACCCAUGUGACCUCCACCCAAACUAAGAAAUCAGACCAGCACCCAGAGGCCCCUAGAGCCCCCGCCUCGCCACUGCCCCGCCCCCACUGACUUCUGCCUGUCUAUGUAGUUCUAUAAUACAUACAUCUGUAGAAUUACGUAGAAAUGAAAUUCUGCAGCGCGUG
This 1885-nucleotide long non-coding RNA is filed under the name Homo sapiens (human). Its description in RNAcentral is "HSALNT0291135". Lineage: Eukaryota; Metazoa; Chordata; Mammalia; Primates; Hominidae. The record is from RNAcentral.